RNAcentral lists this ribosomal RNA (723 nucleotides) under Triticum aestivum (bread wheat). Its description in RNAcentral is "partial small subunit ribosomal RNA". Lineage: Eukaryota; Viridiplantae; Streptophyta; Magnoliopsida; Poales; Poaceae. The record is from RNAcentral.
AUGGACCAGCCGGCGUCGGACGCCGGCGCCUGCCUCGAGGUCCGCCUCUUCUACGUGCGCCUAUCGCCCCGCAGCUCCGGAGCUGCCGCCCCGCCACGGCUCUCGCUGGCCAUCCACCACGCCGGGACCGAGGCCUCCCCCUCCUCGCUCCCUCUCCGCCUCGACCGCUGCGACCCAGUCUCUGGCGAGGCCACCUACGUCUCUACCGCGGCCGCGCGCCUCCCCCCGCCCGACGCCUCCUUCGAGGUUGCAGACCACCGCGACGCCGCCCUCCUCCGAGGCACCCUUCGAAGGUGCCCUGACGCCAAGGCCGAUUCCCCUGUCUGGGCGAUCGACUGCGUCCCCGCCGAUGCAGCGGCGGCCUCAGCCUCGGCCUUUGAGGUCUAUGUUGCCGGGUACUGCGCAGGUGAGCCCGCCGUUCUUACGCGAGCCCUGCGGCUGGCCACCCCGGAAGAGGCUGCUGGCGGAUUGGUUCGCCGGCGAUCAGCACCUUUGGCGGCUAUGUGUGAUGAAGACGAGAGUGACAUGAACAUGGGAACCAGGGCAUACCCUGAAGGAUGGUACUCUGAUGACGACGACGGGCAACUCACAUGGUUCAACGCUGGUGUUAGGGUUGGCGUCGGGAUUGGGCUGGGAGUCUGUGUUGGAGUUGGUAUAGGCGUUGGGCUCCUCAUGAGCUCCUACCAAGCAACGGCCAGGAACCUGAAGAGGCGGUUCUUCUGA